UACGGAGGGUGCAAGCGUUGUCCGGAUUUAUUGGGUUUAAAGGGUGCGUAGGCGGCUUUAUAAGUCCGUGGUGAAAGCCAACAGCUCAACUGUUGAACUGCCAUGGAUACUGUAAGGCUUGAGUACAGACGAGGUAGGCGGAAUGGAUAGUGUAGCGGUGAAAUGCAUAGAUACUAUCCAGAACACCGAUUGCGUAGGCAGCUUACUAGGCUGUAACUGACGCUGAGGCACGAAAGCGUGGGGAGCGAACAGG
Molecule: ribosomal RNA, 253 nt
Filed under: uncultured bacterium
Lineage: Bacteria
Description: partial 16S ribosomal RNA
Rfam family: Bacterial small subunit ribosomal RNA
Source: RNAcentral